Molecule: unclassified non-coding RNA, 293 nt
Filed under: rhizosphere metagenome
Description: partial ribosomal RNA internal transcribed spacer region
Source: RNAcentral
GAGGUUUUUGUCCUGGCGCAAGCUGGGAGAUACCCGACCUAUUGUCAUGUGCACGUUGAGGAGGAACGGAGGAGGGUGGCGCUUGUGGCUUGCGACGGAUCGACCCGAGAGGGGGGAUCCGGAACGGCCCGCGCUGCCGCCGCCGCCUGGACGAACCGUAACUUCGGCGGAAGAGGCAGACGUGAUCUGCCCGCCGCCGGCCGUAACCUAUAACGCUCUGCAACGAGAAUCUGAAGCCUGAUGUACCCAACAAAAUGAAAAGCAAAACUUUCAACAACGGAUCUCUUGGCUCU